ACAAUGCAGUGCCCCCCAAUUCUUUGUCUCCUCCGGGUCACGGUCCGCUACUGCCUCUGACAAAUAAAAGUUUGCAAAAAUACAAUUAUAAUGGCAUAUGUCAUACGUGAAGGAUGAUGUACAUUUAAUGUGGAACCUGGCUAUGAAUUGAGAAGACUGCCGUUGACUCCAAAUACAGGGUGUUGCACAUACACAUUCAGAAAUCGAUCUUCCGUCGAAUACAGUCAUGGCCAAUUCAUCGAAACAAGAAGAAGGUGGUACUCCAUGUCGACCAUCCAGAGGGUUUAAACGGUGGUUCAUCUUAGCCGAUCUGUUCAUGGUAUCUUUUCUAGAAUUAGGAUCAAAACGGGUGCUUUCUCUACUUCUGGAUGUCUUUACAUUUCAGUUUGAUGUCAGUGCGUCGUACAUCGGGGCGAUAUAUGGUCUUGUUUCUGGAAUGCCGUACUUCUUAGGAUUGAUCACUAUACCUCUACUUCGCUACUUCUCGGUUCGACUGCUUACGAUAAUUGGUGGUAUAUUGGCA
Molecule: long non-coding RNA, 523 nt
Organism: Lytechinus variegatus (green sea urchin)
Lineage: Eukaryota; Metazoa; Echinodermata; Echinoidea; Temnopleuroida; Toxopneustidae
Exons: 3
Source: RefSeq, a predicted model, not a curated record